CAGUCGCCACGGGAAUACGAAGGGGGCUAGCGUUGCUCGGAAUUACUGGGCGUAAAGGGCGCGUAGGCGGCGCUCCAAGUUAGGCGUGAAAUUCCCGGGCUCAACCUGGGGACUGCGCUUAAGACUGGAGUGCUUGAGGAUGGAAGAGGGUUGUGGAAUUCCCAGUGUAGAGGUGAAAUUCGUAGAUAUUGGGAAGAACACCGGUGGCGAAGGCGGCAACCUGGUCCAUUACUGACGCUGAGGCGCGAUAGCGUGGGGAGCAAACAGGAUUAGAUACCCGCGUAGUCCCUGUCUCUUAUAC
This 301-nucleotide ribosomal RNA is filed under the name uncultured bacterium. Its description in RNAcentral is "partial 16S ribosomal RNA". It matches the Rfam family "Bacterial small subunit ribosomal RNA", at positions 509 to 807 of the family's 1533-position model. The record is from RNAcentral.